GUGAGGAAUAUUGGUCAAUGGACGAGAGUCUGAACCAGCCAAGUCGCGUGAAGGAUGAAGGUUUUAUGAAUUGUAAACUUCUUUUGCAGGGGAAUAAAGUACGGUACGUGUACCGUUUUGUAUGUACUCUGCGAAUAAGGAUCGGCUAACUCCGUGCCAGCAGCCGCGGUAAUACGGAGGAUCCAAGCGUUAUCCGGAUUUAUUGGGUUUAAAGGGUGCGCAGGCGGGUUGAUAAGUCAGCGGUGAAAGUUUGCAGCUUAACUGUAAAAUUGCCGUUGAAACUGUCGAUCUUGAGUGCAAAUGAGGUAAGCGGAAUGUGUUGUGUAGCGGUGAAAUGCUUAGAUAUAACACAGAACACCGAUUGCGAAGGCAGCUUACUGGGAUGCAACUGACGCUCAUGCACGAAAGCGUGGGGAUCAAACAGGAUUAGAUACCCUUGUAGUCC
RNAcentral lists this ribosomal RNA (445 nucleotides) under uncultured bacterium. RNAcentral's name for it is "partial 16S ribosomal RNA". It matches the Rfam family "Bacterial small subunit ribosomal RNA", at positions 354 to 796 of the family's 1533-position model. The record is from RNAcentral.